GACGAACGCUGGCGGCGCGCUUAACACAUGCAAGUCGAACGGUAAGGCCCUUCGGGGUACACGAGUGGCGAACGGGUGAGUAACACGUGGGUGAUCUGCCCUGCACUUCGGGAUAAGCCUGGGAAACUGGGUCUAAUACCGGCUAGGACCUCUGCCUGCAUGGGUGGUGGUGGAAAGCUUUUGCGGUGUGGGAUGGGCCCGCGGCCUAUCAGCUUGUUGGUGGGGUGAUGGCCUACCAAGGCGACGACGGGUAGCCGGCCUGAGGGGUGACCGGCCGAACGGGGACUGAGAUGCGGCCCGGACUCCUACGGGAGGCAGCAGUGGGGGAUAUUGCACAAUGGGCGCAAGCCUGAUGCAGCGACGCCGCGUGAGGGAUGACGGCCUUCGGGUUGUAAACCUCUUUCAGCACCGACGAAGCGCAAGUGACGGUAGGUGCAGAAGAAGGACCGGCCAACUACGUGCCAGCCGCCGCAGUAA
Molecule: ribosomal RNA, 477 nt
Filed under: uncultured bacterium
Lineage: Bacteria
Description: partial 16S ribosomal RNA
Rfam family: Bacterial small subunit ribosomal RNA
Source: RNAcentral